This 373-nucleotide ribosomal RNA is filed under the name Macrobrachium acanthochirus. RNAcentral's name for it is "partial 16S ribosomal RNA". It matches the Rfam family "Bacterial large subunit ribosomal RNA", at positions 1951 to 2533 of the family's 2925-position model. Lineage: Eukaryota; Metazoa; Arthropoda; Malacostraca; Decapoda; Palaemonidae. RNAcentral also lists the same sequence under 2 other names. The record is from RNAcentral.
CGAAGGUAGCAUAGUCAGUAGUCUUUUAAUUGGAGGCUUGAAUGAAUGGUUGGACGAGGGACAGACUGUCUCCUUUAUGUGAUUUGAAUUUAACUUUUGAGUGAAAAGGCUCAAAUUAUUUAGUGGGACGAUAAGACCCUAUAAAACUUGAUAUAAGUGAAUCUUGAUUUGUGAUUUGUGUGAAAAAUAGUGUUGCUUUACUUAUAUUUUGCUGGGGCGGCAUAGAUAUAAAAUGUAACUGUCUGUUAAAUUUAAUAGUGUUAAUUAGUUUGUGAUCCUUCCUUGUGGAUUAGAAGAAUAAGUUACUUUAGGGAUAACAGCGUGAUUUUCUUUGAGAGUUCUUAUCGACAAGAGUAGUUGCGACCUCGAUGUU